This 630-nucleotide ribosomal RNA is filed under the name Mycoleptodiscus indicus. RNAcentral describes it as "eukaryotic LSU rRNA". It matches the Rfam family "Eukaryotic large subunit ribosomal RNA", at positions 28 to 671 of the family's 3401-position model. Lineage: Eukaryota; Fungi; Ascomycota; Dothideomycetes; Muyocopronales; Muyocopronaceae. The record is from RNAcentral.
CUGAACUUAAGCAUAUCAAUAAGCGGAGGAAAAGAAACCAACAGGGAUUGCCUUAGUAACGGCGAGUGAAGCGGCAACAGCUCAAAUUUGAAAUCUGGCGUCUUUGGCGUCCGAGUUGUAAUUUGCAGAGGAUGCUUCGGCGUUGGCGCCGCCCAAAGUUCCUUGGAACGGGACGUCGCAGAGGGUGAGAGCCCCGUGUUCGGGCGGAUGCCUUCGCCGUGUGAAGCUCCUUCGACGAGUCGAGUUGUUUGGGAAUGCAGCUCAAAACGGGAGGUAAAUUUCUUCCAAAGCUAAAUACCGGCCGGAGACCGAUAGUGCACAAGUAGAGUGAUCGAAAGAUGAAAAGCACUUUGGAAAGAGAGUCAAACAGCGCGUGAAAUUGUUAAAAGGGAAGCGCUUGCGGUCAGAACUUGGCCGCCGUUGCUCGGGGAGGUCUUGCGCCUCCCUCGCUCUUCGGCGGCUGGGCCAGCAUCGGUUCGGGCGGCUCGAGAAAGGUCGCGGGAAUGUAGCUCCCUCCGGGGAGUGUUAUAGCCCGCGGCGCAAUAGGGCCCGCCUGGACCGAGGUCUGCGCAUUUGCUCGGAUGCUGGCGUAAUGGCCCCAAGCGGCCCGUCUUGAAACACGGACCAAGG